This 346-nucleotide unclassified non-coding RNA is filed under the name Hevea brasiliensis (rubber tree). Lineage: Eukaryota; Viridiplantae; Streptophyta; Magnoliopsida; Malpighiales; Euphorbiaceae. The record is from RNAcentral.
UUUUUUACAACUAGCAAGUGAGAAGAAAAUAAAUCAGUAUAAAUUUUAUCAAGAAACAAGACUAUAUACCUUCUUUAUCCUCCCAACAAAUUCAUCAAUAAUACAACAAUAUGCAUAGAUUAAUCGAGGCGUUGACUCGGUAAAAUUUUGUAAAUAAAUGAUACAAUUAUAACUUAAAGGGUUAAGACUUAAGGGUGUAGUCAGUAAGGAAAACCAAUGUUCUAUGCUCCAUUUACAGUCAUAAUCUACUUAAGGUCAAGAAAUAUAAUUCCUCAUUUCUUUAUAUAUCUAGACUACUAACUGUUUCCCUCGUCGCCAAGAGACUGAACUACUGAAGAGUGGUUGC